GGCAAAGGCUGAAAAGAAGGCCAAGAAAAGGGAUUUCAGCCAUUUGAUUGCCUCUGAAAAGCUACAGGCAGGGGCCUGCAACCCUGGUCCUGGAUGCCCAUGGGGUCUGCAUGUUUUGUUUUUACCAUCAGCAAAAUAUCAAGCCCCAGAAAACUAGCUUUCUGGCCACUGCAUCAUCCUUGGCCUUGGGGAGAAGAUCCACCACGGCACAGUCGGAGAAGUAACACCCACUCAGCGGCUCAAUGCCCUCCUGGAGGGCACAGUGCAGAGUGGUCUGGGCUCCAGAAUCUGCAUCUACGCAGAACAGCAUGGCUCCUGGAAUGAGGAGGAUCUGCCACCAUACACUAGUGUAACGAGUUAUACCCGUUCUGACCCCUCCUGUGGAACAGAAAAUCUCUGGAGCUAUUUGCCGUCAGUCUGGUUGUCAGCAAGUGAAAUGCUCAACUGGAAUGAGGUCAGAUGAUUGACUUGACUUAUUCUAAUUUUUGACUCCUUGGUUGGUUUGGCUGUAUCUUUUGGAACAUUGUCCUGCUGUAGGAUGAAGCGUCGGCUUGGAUGUUUUCUAUAGACUUUGACAGUCAGCAGCAGCGACGUCAUCAAUGAACAUAAGUGAGCCAGUUCCAGUGGCAGCCAUACAUGCCCAAGCAUGCGCAAAAACACCAC
Molecule: long non-coding RNA, 663 nt
Organism: Conger conger (European conger)
Lineage: Eukaryota; Metazoa; Chordata; Actinopteri; Anguilliformes; Congridae
Exons: 4
Source: RefSeq, a predicted model, not a curated record